ACGAGGAAGGGCGUAGCAAGCGACGAAAUGCUUUAGGGAGUAGAAAAUAAGCAUAGAUCCAGAGAUUCCCAAAUAGGUCAACCUUUUGAACUACCUGCUGAAUCCAUGAGCAAGCAAGAGACGACCUGGCAAACUGAAACAUCUUAGUAGCCAGAGGAAAAUAAAGGAUAAUG
This 173-nucleotide non-coding RNA is filed under the name Triticum aestivum (bread wheat). Its description in RNAcentral is "Bacterial large subunit ribosomal RNA". It matches the Rfam family "Bacterial large subunit ribosomal RNA", at positions 46 to 232 of the family's 2925-position model. Lineage: Eukaryota; Viridiplantae; Streptophyta; Magnoliopsida; Poales; Poaceae. The record is from Rfam by way of RNAcentral. RNAcentral also lists the same sequence under 1 other name.